RNAcentral lists this transfer RNA (72 nucleotides) under Bos taurus (domestic cattle). It matches the Rfam family "tRNA". From Rfam's summary of the family: Transfer RNA (tRNA) molecules are approximately 80 nucleotides in length. Their secondary structure includes four short double-helical elements and three loops (D, anti-codon, and T loops). The record is from Rfam by way of RNAcentral. Lineage: Eukaryota; Metazoa; Chordata; Mammalia; Artiodactyla; Bovidae.
UCCCUGGUGGCUCAGCUGGUAAAGAAUCUGCCUGAAAUGCAGGAGACCCUGGUUUGAUUCCUGGGUCGGGAA